AAUGAGAUAGACCGUCUCGCACUAUGAGGGUUCGAAGCCGUUCGCUCGCCAUAUAGAGCAGAUGGUAAGUAAUUUUUAUUUAGCAUAUUUUAACUUUUUAACUAUUUAAAAAAAAAUUUAUUAAUUAUUCUCAAAUUACAAAGAGAUAUAGAAAGUGGCGAGCUUCCUAGUAGGAUCGAGAUCUAUCAGCGACGAUGAUCAAGAGAGUGGAUG
Molecule: long non-coding RNA, 213 nt
Filed under: Elaeis guineensis (African oil palm)
Lineage: Eukaryota; Viridiplantae; Streptophyta; Magnoliopsida; Arecales; Arecaceae
Description: long non-coding RNA (EGUI_LNC054788)
Source: RNAcentral